This 327-nucleotide long non-coding RNA is filed under the name Mytilus galloprovincialis (Mediterranean mussel). The record is from RNAcentral. Lineage: Eukaryota; Metazoa; Mollusca; Bivalvia; Mytilida; Mytilidae.
CAGUUAUAAAUAUUCUUUUUAUCCACGAACAAUUAUAAAUUGGAACUAUCUGCAACAACAAAUAGUAUCAUGCAGUACAGUAGAGGGAUUUAAGAGUAUGAUCACAGAAUCUGCUCUCAUCCCCAUAUUCUAUCCCUAACUAUUCUGUUAUCAAAUGUAUAUAGUUUUAUCAAAAUUUAUUUUUUUGAAUGUACAUACGUUAUUUUGUUUUUUCUUGAUUUUGUUAUUUUUUAUUUUUUCCUGCUAAAAUGUAAAUUAUAAAAUUUUAUAGUCGACGCCCGGCGAAUAAUCUUCAAUAAUUGAAGGAUCGCUAGAAACCUAAAGAAG